Long non-coding RNA from Calidris pugnax (ruff), 1359 nucleotides. RefSeq lists it as uncharacterized. NCBI's taxonomy places the organism in Eukaryota, Metazoa, Chordata, Aves, Charadriiformes, Scolopacidae. The transcript is spliced from 8 exons. The record is from RefSeq and is a predicted model, not a curated record.
ACUAAAAAGAGAGUUGUGUUUUUCAUCCGUGACGCAGUCCUUAAAUCCAGCGAAGGCAGCUGCAGUCAAAGCAGUUGUCAGCAAAUGGUCUGUGUGAGGUGUUUUCCCUGUGCUAGUUGACGUUAGUCAAUGAGUGUUUUUCUGGUAUUGCAUCCUGGAAACAUUCUUAUUUAUGGUAUUUAUUAUGCUCUUCCUUUUCUAGAUGACAGGCAUGGGAAGCACAAAGGCAGAGUUGUCUCAUACAUUGAAGACUUCACAACUAGUAAUGAAACAGACUGGAAAGAGAAGGCAAGACUAAUGAGGGGAGAUAAUGAUGGGCAUAGAUGCAGCUAUCUCUGCAGGUUUCCCAAGUGAAUAGUAGUGAGUGUGUGGAAGUGGUUUCUAAUCAAUCCUGAUGCGUAUCCACGUACCCUGCCAUCUACAAUGAGCUCCAAGUCUGGUGACGUGGCUCAGACCUGUCUUUGCAGCAGUUUUAUCAACGCUCCCGUGCAUUGUGCUGAAGCCUGAGGGUGGGCACGUGUUUCAUUCUACUGGAGCCAAGAACAGGAGCAUCUUAAUCACAGUGUACCUACAGCUGUAAAAGGCACAGUGAGCCAGGAGAGGCCGGUGUCAUGGACUACAGUCACAUCUACAUGGCAGCACAAGGGACAGUAGAGAUUCCUCAUCUGACCUACAGUUGGCUUCAGGGGUCAAGCAGCCUGAGGAGAGGGAUAUAAUGUGAAAUAAUUUACAGAGUAUGCUUUGUGCCAAAGCCACCACCAUUCUGUAUUUGCUACUGGAAUUACAACAGAAAAUUCCUUAUAGUGAAAGUAAUAUGAGCACAAGCCAAAUGCUCAACUCGUUUCAAUUAUUCAGCAGCAAAAAAGCAAUGGAAGAGAAGCCAAGUGAAAAGCCCCAACAUUUACUGUGGGAAGUUUAAAGAAAAAAAAAAAAGGAGCAGCACUGACCAGAACCAGGACUGUGUCCAACAACGAUCACAUUUUCUCAUCAGAUGAAGCAAGAGAUUCCCAGGAUACAGCUGAAAUAGAAUUUUCUCUGUUGCCCUGAGUUUUGAAGGCCUCCCUCCCACCCCCAGUGAUGCAACCUGCAAUUCUUCCAAGAUACCAUGAAUCUCAAGAAGUUGGACACUGACAUCAAGUGCUGCAACGCUUGCAACAACAGUCACAGGAACAGACAGUAUUGUAUAUUGUUAGUGUAUAACAUCAGCAUUGUCAAAAAAGUGAAAGAAGAUGCUAUUACCUAUGUUUAUUUUACCUUAAGAUACUUACUGAAAUGUAUUAUAUAGAAAAUACCUUACAGGAAUACUCACAGAUUUUCAAUGUGUUCAAAGUUGUCUUCAAUAAACAAAAAUUACACUAA